This 348-nucleotide unclassified non-coding RNA is filed under the name Hevea brasiliensis (rubber tree). The record is from RNAcentral. Lineage: Eukaryota; Viridiplantae; Streptophyta; Magnoliopsida; Malpighiales; Euphorbiaceae.
GAAGAAAAUAAUAACCAGCACCAUAGAUUCAUUCAAAAUUUGACAAGAGGAAAAACAAGAAAAGACUGGCUUGCAAAUCAAAUUUCAGGAAUAUUGCAGCUAAGUUUCUAAUCUUAGGAUUUCAAUUCCUUUUCAACACCAAAUUAUAGCAGCAUCAAUCUGACAUUUACAAAUUAUUGCAAUGUAGGAUCCAAAUUUUCAUUUUGCAAUUUCUCAAUCCUUUUUUGGUCUGACAAAAUGAGCUCACUUUCUUUGCUCAUAAAUCAAUUUGACAUAUAACUGGCAUGAACUGGUUGAGUAUCAUACAAGAAAUCCUAGAGAAAAUUUCUGGAUCUAAGACGAAUCUUU